GAUCGAACCCGGGCCGCACGCAUGCCAGGCAGUGGCUCCCGGACGAGGCCAGAGAAUCGACUUUAAAUUCUGAGUGUGGAUUCCCACGGAGACCCAGGAGUCACAUUUGAUGGAAGGAACUGUGUGCAGAGCUCCUCUCGCCUCUGUAGCAAUUGGCAUGGCCAUCCUGUCCCCCUCGCCUCCUCCAGGUGAGGGUGCUGUGGGUGG
RNAcentral lists this long non-coding RNA (207 nucleotides) under Marmota monax (woodchuck). Lineage: Eukaryota; Metazoa; Chordata; Mammalia; Rodentia; Sciuridae. The record is from RNAcentral.